UACAGAGGUCUCAAGCGUUGUUCGGAUUCAUUGGGCGUAAAGGGUGCGUAGGUGGCGCGGUAAGUCGGGUGUGAAAUCUCGGAGCUUAACUCCGGAACUGCCUUCGAUACUGCGGGUCUCGAGUCCGGGAGAGGUGAGUGGAAUUCCUAGUGUAGAGGUGAAAUUCGUAGAUAUUAGGAAGAACACCAAUGGCGAAGGCAGCUCGCUGGAACGGUACUGACGCUGAGGCGCGAAAGCGUGGGGAGCGAACAGG
This 253-nucleotide ribosomal RNA is filed under the name uncultured bacterium. Its description in RNAcentral is "partial 16S ribosomal RNA". It matches the Rfam family "Bacterial small subunit ribosomal RNA", at positions 524 to 776 of the family's 1533-position model. The record is from RNAcentral.